This is a long non-coding RNA of Myodes glareolus (Bank vole), 519 nucleotides long. RefSeq lists it as uncharacterized. Lineage: Eukaryota; Metazoa; Chordata; Mammalia; Rodentia; Cricetidae. The record is from RefSeq and is a predicted model, not a curated record.
CCAAGGCACCCCUUCUCUGUGGCCAUUUCUUGUCUCCAGGUCCCACCCAUCACCCGUUCUCUGAUCUCAGAUGAACAGAUGAACAUCAGUGGAGAGCGAUGCGGCGUCUCCACCCUUCAGCGUGAGAGGCAGUCUAACUUUGUGGGUUCAAGGAAUAACAUGGGGUAUGGGCUGCCCAAAGAGCCAGGUAGCCAAACUGGACUUCCAGGUGCCUUUGGGGAAGAACUCAGUGUCACUGGAGUUGUUAGGCUCCAGGACAAGGACCCUCUAGGAAGUUCCAUCGCACUGAGCGGAGUCUAGUGUGGUUUCAGGCCUCCUUUCCAGGCAACCAUGAGAAACACCCAGCAGCUGACCUAGGAAGCGGCUUCCAAUCUUCAUUUCUUGGCCUGAGGGAGAAAGAAAAGAAUCCCAGAAAAAGAGCCCAUGGCCCCUGAUGUGUGCAUCUGGAAUGGAGGUGAGAUGCGGUUCCAGGAAAGAUCUGGGAAGCCAAGCAUGAAUUACUUCCUAAAAAUAAAUAAA